UGCAGAGAAAUGUAUAUGCCCAAUGAACACAGCUAACAACACUUUAUUUGUCACUAUUUCUUAGUUAAAAAGAAUGUUCAAUAGCCAGUUCCAUUCUGGCCAUGCAGGAAUGAAAGGAAAGCCGUUCAAAUAUCAAUAUCAAGUUUUGGAAGAAAAUGAAAAUGAACUGGUUUAACGAGAGUCUUAUGACGUGCACAGAAUUGUAAUAUAGCCAGAAUGAAAACCUCAGUGUAUUUAUGAAAUGGCGGAUUAAAAAUUUAUAGGAAUUGUCGAUGAUGAGCAUAGAGGAGAGCCUGGGUUCCAGUUUGAAUAUGAACUACGAUUAUGCAAAAAUGUUAAAAUUGAUAUAGCGUAGUUAUAAUUGUGAAUAUAAAUACAC
This is a non-coding RNA of Paramuricea clavata, 379 nucleotides long. The record is from the annotation of a GenBank genome assembly. NCBI's taxonomy places the organism in Eukaryota, Metazoa, Cnidaria, Anthozoa, Malacalcyonacea, Plexauridae.